GAUGAAGAACGUAGCGAAAUGCGAUACGUAAUGUGAAUUGCAAAUUCAGUGAAUCAUCGAGUCUUUGAACGCACAUUGCGCCCCCUGGUAUUCCGGGGGGCAUGCCUGUCCGAGCGUCAUUGCUGCCCUCAAGCACGGCUUGUGUGUUGGGCCCCGUCCUCCGAUCCCGGGGGACGGGCCCGAAAGGCAGCGGCGGCACCGCGUCCGGUCCUCGAGCGUAUGGGGCUUUGUUACCCGCUCUGUAGGCCCGGCCGGCGCUUGCCGAUCAACCCAAAUUUUUUAUCCAGGUUGACCUCGGAUCAGGUAGGGAUACCCGCUGAACUUAAGCAUAUCAAUAAGCGGAGGA
RNAcentral lists this unclassified non-coding RNA (346 nucleotides) under soil metagenome. RNAcentral's name for it is "partial contains 5.8S ribosomal RNA, internal transcribed spacer 2, and large subunit ribosomal RNA". The stretch from base 1 to 119 matches the Rfam family "5.8S ribosomal RNA", at positions 35 to 154 of the family's 154-position model. The record is from RNAcentral.